Long non-coding RNA from Lagopus muta (rock ptarmigan), 6807 nucleotides. RefSeq lists it as uncharacterized. Lineage: Eukaryota; Metazoa; Chordata; Aves; Galliformes; Phasianidae. The transcript is spliced from 6 exons. The record is from RefSeq and is a predicted model, not a curated record.
ACAGGGAUUUCUAUGAAAAUAAGCGAUAUUUUAGGGUUAAAAACAGGGAUUUCGAUGAAAAUAAGCGAUAUUUUAGGGUUAAAUCAGGGAUUUCUAUGAAAAUAAGCAAUAUUUUAGGUUAAAAACAGGGAUUUCGAUGAAAAUAAGCGAUAUUUAAGGGUUACAAACAGGGAUUUCGAUGAAAAUAAGCGAUAUUUUGGGGUUAAAAACAGGGAUUUCUAUGAAAAUAAGCGAUAUUUUAGGGUUAAAAACAGGGAUUUCGAUGAAAAUAAGCGAUAUUUAAGGGUUACAAACAGGGAUUUCUACGAAAAUACGCGAUAUUCAAGGGGAAAAACAGGGAUUUCGAUGAAAAUAAGCGAUAUUUUAGGGUUAAAAACAGGGAUUUCCAUGAAAAUAAGCGAUAUUUUAGGGUUAAAAACAGGGAUUUCUAUGAAAAUAAGCGAUAUUCAAGGGUUAAAAACAGGGAUUUCGAUGAAAAUAAGCGAUAUUUAAGGGUUACAAACAGGGAUUUCUACGAAAAUACGCGAUAUUAAAGGGGAAAAACAGGGAUUUCGAUGAAAAUAAGCAAUAUUUUUGGUUAAAAACAGGGAUUUUGAUGAAAAUAAGCGAUAUUUUUGGGUUAAAAACAGGGAUUUCUAUGAAAAUAAGCGAUAUUUUAGGGUUAAAAACAGGGAUUUCUAUGACAAUAAGCGAUAUUUUUGGGGAAAAACAGGGAUUUCCAUGAAAAUAAGCGAUAUUUUUGGGGAAAAACAGGGAUUUCCAUGAAAAUAAGCGAUAUUUUUGGGUUAAAAACAGGGAUUUCUAUGAAAAUAAGCGAUAUUUAAGGGGAAAAACAGGGAUUUUGAUGAAAAUAAGCGAUAUUUUUGUGUUAAAAACAGGGAUUUCUAUGAAAAUAAGCGAUAUUUUAGGGUUAAAAACAGGGAUUUCUAUGAAAAUAAGCGAUAUUUUAGGGGAAAAACAGGGAUUUCUAUGAAAAUAAGCGAUAUUUUUGGGUUAAAAACAGGGAUUUUGAUGAAAAUAAGCGAUAUUUUAGGGGAAAAACAGGGAUUUCUAUGAAAAUAAGCGAUAUUUUAGGUUAAAAACAGGGAUUUUGAUGAAAAUACGUGAAAUUUUAGGGGAAAAACAGGGAUUUCUAUGAAAAUAAGCGAUAUUUUAGGUUAAAAACAGGGAUUUUGAUGGAAAUAAGCGAUAUUUUUGGGUUAAAAACAGGGAUUUCUAUGAAAAUAAGCGAUAUUUUUGGGUUAAAAACAGGGAUUUUUAUGAAAAAAAGCGAUAUUUUUGGGUUAAAAACAGGGAUUUCUAUGAAAAUAAGCGAUAUUUUAGGGUUAAAAACAGGGAUUUCUAUGAAAAUAAGCGAUAUUUUAGGGUUAAAAACAGGGAUUUCUAUGAAAAUAAGCGAUAUUUUAGGGUUAAAAACAGGGAUUUGUAUGAAAAUAAGCGAUAUUUUUGGGUUAAAAACAGGGAUUUUGAUGAAAAUAAGCGAUAUUUUAGGGUUAAAAACAGGGAUUUCUAUGAAAAUAAGCGAUAUUUUAGGGUUAAAAACAGGGAUUUCUAUGAAAAUAAGCGAUAUUUUUGGGUUAAAAAGAGGGAUUUCCAUGAAAAUAAGCGAUAUUUUUGGGUUAAAAACAGGGAUUUCUAUGAAAAUAAGCGAUAUAUUAGGGUUGAAAGCAGGGAUUUCGACGAAAAUAAGGGAUGUUUAAGGGGAAAAAAUGGGAUUUCUAUGAAAAUAAGCGAUAUUUAAGGGUUAAAAAACGGGAUUUCGAUGAAAAUAAGCGAUAUUUUAGGGUUAAAAACAGGGAUUUCUAUGAAAAUAAGCGAUAUUUUAGGGUUAAAAACAGGGAUUUGUAUGAAAAUAAGCGAUAUUUUAGGUUAAAAACAGGGAUUUUGAUGAAAAUAAGCGAUAUUUUAGGGUUAAAAACAGGGAUUUCUAUGAAAAUAAGCGAUAUUUUAGGGGAAAAACAGGGAUUUCUAUGAAAAUAAGCGAUAUUUUUGGGUUAAAAACAGGGAUUUCUAUGAAAAUAAGCGAUAUUUUUGGGUUAAAAACAGGGAUUUCCAUGAAAAUAAGCGAUAUUUUUGGGUUAAAAACAGGGAUUUCUAUGAAAAUAAGCGAUAUAUUAGGGUUGAAAGCAGGGAUUUCGACGAAAAUAAGGGAUGUUUAAGGGGAAAAAAUGGGAUUUCUAUGAAAAUAAGCGAUAUUUAAGGGUUAAAAAACGGGAUUUCGAUGAAAAUAAGCGAUAUUUUAGGGUUAAAAACAGGGAUUUCUAUGAAAAUAAGCGAUAUAUUAGGGUUGAAAGCAGGGAUUUCAAUGAAAAUAAGCGAUAUUUAAGGUGAAAAACACGGCUUUCCGAGAAAAAUAACAGCCUGCGCAGUAGGGUGCCUGCGCAGCGCAUGCGCAGUAGGGUGCCUGCGCAGCGCAUGCGCAGUAGGGUGCCUGCGCAGCGCAUGCGCAGUAGGGUGCCUGCGCAGCGCAUGCGCAGUAGGGUGCCUGCGCAGCGCAUGCGCAGUAGGGUGCCUGCGCAGCGCAUGCGCAGUAGGGUGCCUGCGCAGCGCAUGCGCAGUAGGGUGCCUGCGCAGCGCAUGCGCAGUAGGGUGCCUGCGCAGCGCAUGCGCAGUAGGGUGCCUGCGCAGCGCAUGCGCAGUAGGGUGCCUGCGCAGCGCAUGCGCAGUAGGGUGCCUGCGCAGCGCAUGCGCAGUAGGGUGCCUGCGCAGCGCAUGCGCAGUAGGGUGCCAGUCUACCGCACGCGCAGAACGGUGUCUGCCUGGCGCAUUGCUAGAACAAAGCAAUGUUUAAGGGGAAAGACAGGGAUUUCCAUGAAAAUAAGCGAUAUUUUAGGGUUAAAAACAGGGAUUUCUAUGAAAAUAAGCGAUAUUUUAGGUUAAAAACAGGGAUUUUGAUGGAAAUAAGCGAUAUUUUUGGGUUAAAAACAGGGAUUUCCAUGAAAAUAAGCGAUAUUUUUGGGUUAAAAACAGGGAUUUCUAUGAAAAUAAGCGAUAUAUUAGGGUUGAAAGCAGGGAUUUCGACGAAAAUAAGGGAUGUUUAAGGGGAAAAAAUGGGAUUUCUAUGAAAAUAAGCGAUAUUUAAGGGUUAAAAAACGGGGAUUUUGAUGAAAAUAAGCGAUAUUUUUGUGUUAAAAACAGGGAUUUCUAUGAAAAUAAGCGAUAUUUUAGGGUUAAAAACAGGGAUUUCUAUGAAAAUAAGCGAUAUUUUAGGGGAAAAACAGGGAUUUCUAUGAAAAUAAGCGAUAUUUUAGGGGAAAAACAGGGAUUUCUAUGAAAAUAAGCGAUAUUUUAGGUUAAAAACAGGGAUUUUGAUGGAAAUAAGCGAUAUUUUAGGGUUAAAAACAGGGAUUUCUAUGAAAAUAAGCGAUAUUUUAGGGUUAAAAACAGGGAUUUCGAUGAAAAAAAGCGAUAUUUUAGGGUUAAAAACAGGGAUUUCUAUGAAAAUAAGCGAUAUUUUAGGUUAAAAACAGGGAUUUUGAUGAAAAUAAGCGAUAUUUUAGGGUUAAAAACAGGGAUUUCUAUGAAAAUAAGCGAUAUUUUAGGGGAAAAACAGGGAUUUCUAUGAAAAUAAGCGAUAUUUUAGGGUUAAAAACAGGGAUUUCUAUGAAAAUAAGCGAUAUUUUUGGGUUAAAAAGAGGGAUUUCCAUGAAAAUAAGCGAUAUUUUUGGGUUAAAAACAGGGAUUUCUAUGAAAAUAAGCGAUAUAUUAGGGUUGAAAGCAGGGAUUUCGACGAAAAUAAGGGAUGUUUAAGGGGAAAAAAUGGGAUUUCUAUGAAAAUAAGCGAUAUUUAAGGGUUAAAAAACGGGAUUUCGAUGAAAAUAAGCGAUAUUUUAGGGUUAAAAACAGGGAUUUCUAUGAAAAUAAGCGAUAUAUUAGGGUUGAAAGCAGGGAUUUCAAUGAAAAUAAGCGAUAUUUAAGGUGAAAAACACGGCUUUCCGAGAAAAAUAACAGCCUGCGCAGUAGGGUGCCUGCGCAGCGCAUGCGCAGUAGGGUGCCUGCGCAGCGCAUGCGCAGUAGGGUGCCUGCGCAGCGCAUGCGCAGUAGGGUGCCUGCGCAGCGCAUGCGCAGUAGGGUGCCUGCGCAGCGCAUGCGCAGUAGGGUGCCUGCGCAGCGCAUGCGCAGUAGGGUGCCUGCGCAGCGCAUGCGCAGUAGGGUGCCUGCGCAGCGCAUGCGCAGUAGGGUGCCUGCGCAGCGCAUGCGCAGUAGGGUGCCUGCGCAGCGCAUGCGCAGUAGGGUGCCUGCGCAGCGCAUGCGCAGUAGGGUGCCAGUCUACCGCACGCGCAGAACGGUGUCUGCCUGGCGCAUUGCUAGAACAAAGCAAUGUUUAAGGGGAAAGACAGGGAUUUCUAUGAAAAUAAGCGAUAUUUUAGGGUUAAAAACAGGGAUUUCCAUGAAAAUAAGCGAUAUUUUAGGGUUAAAAACAGGGAUUUCUAUGAAAAUGAGCGAUAUUUUAGGGUUAAAAACAGGGAUUUCCAUGAAAAUAAGCGAUAUUUUUGGGUUAAAAACAGGGAUUUCUAUGAAAAUAAGCGAUAUUUUAGGGGAAAAACAGGGAUUUCUAUGAAAAUAAGCGAUAUUUUAGGGUUAAAAACAGGGAUUUCUAUGACAAUAAGCGAUAUUUUUGGGGAAAAACAGGGAUUUCCAUGAAAAUAAGCGAUAUUUUUGGGGAAAAACAGGGAUUUCCAUGAAAAUAAGCGAUAUUUUUGGGUUAAAAACAGGGAUUUCUAUGAAAAUAAGCGAUAUUUUAGGGUUAAAAACAGGGAUUUCCAUGAAAAUAAGCGAUAUUUUUGGGUUAAAAACAGGGAUUUCUAUGAAAAUAAGCGAUAUUUUAGGGGAAAAACAGGGAUUUCUAUGAAAAUAAGCGAUAUUUUAGGGUUAAAAACAGGGAUUUCUAUGAAAAUAAGCGAUAUUUUAGGUUAAAAACAGGGAUUUUGAUGAAAAUAAGCGAUAUUUUUGGGUUAAAAACAGGGAUUUCUAUGAAAAUAAGCGAUAUUUUAGGUUAAAAACAGGGAUUUCUAUGAAAAUAAGCGAUAUUUUUGGGUUAAAAACAGGGAUUUUGAUGAAAAUAAGCGAUAUUUUAGGGGAAAAACAGGGAUUUCUAUGAAAAUAAGCGAUAUUUUAGGUUAAAAACAGGGAUUUUGAUGAAAAUACGUGAAAUUUUAGGGGAAAAACAGGGAUUUCUAUGAAAAUAAGCGAUAUUUUAGGUUAAAAACAGGGAUUUUGAUGGAAAUAAGCGAUAUUUUUGGGUUAAAAACAGGGAUUUCUAUGAAAAUAAGCGAUAUUUUAGGGUUAAAAACAGGGAUUUUUAUGAAAAAAAGCGAUAUUUUGGGGUUAAAAACAGGGAUUUCCAUGAAAAUAAGCGAUAUUUUUGGGUUAAAAACAGGGAUUUCUAUGAAAAUAAGCGAUAUUUUAGGGGAAAAACAGGGAUUUCUAUGAAAAUAAGCGAUAUUUUAGGGUUAAAAACAGGGAUUUCUAUGAAAAUAAGCGAUAUUUUAGGUUAAAAACAGGGAUUUUGAUGAAAAUAAGCGAUAUUUUUGGGUUAAAAACAGGGAUUUCUAUGAAAAUAAGCGAUAUUUUAGGGUUAAAAACAGGGAUUUCUAUGACAAUAAGCGAUAUUUUUGGGGAAAAACAGGGAUUUCCAUGAAAAUAAGCGAUAUUUUUGGGGAAAAACAGGGAUUUCCAUGAAAAUAAGCGAUAUUUUUGGGUUAAAAACAGGGAUUUCUAUGAAAAUAAGCGAUAUUUAAGGGGAAAAACAGGGAUUUUGAUGAAAAUAAGCGAUAUUUUUGUGUUAAAAACAGGGAUUUCUAUGAAAAUAAGCGAUAUUUUAGGGUUAAAAACAGGGAUUUUUAUGAAAAUAAGCGAUAUUUUAGGUUAAAAACAGGGAUUUCUAUGAAAAUAAGCGAUAUUUUUGGGUUAAAAACAGGGAUUUUGAUGAAAAUAAGCGAUAUUUUAGGGGAAAAACAGGGAUUUCUAUGAAAAUAAGCGAUAUUUUAGGUUAAAAACAGGGAUUUUGAUGAAAAUACGUGAAAUUUUAGGGGAAAAACAGGGAUUUCUAUGAAAAUAAGCGAUAUUUUAGGUUAAAAACAGGGAUUUUGAUGAAAAUACGUGAAAUUUUAGGGGAAAAACAGGGAUUUCUAUGAAAAUAAGCGAUAUUUUAGGUUAAAAACAGGGAUUUUGAUGAAAAUACGUGAAAUUUUAGGGGAAAAACAGGGAUUUCUAUGAAAAUAAGCGAUAUUUUAGGUUAAAAACAGGGAUUUUGAUGGAAAUAAGCGAUAUUUUUGGGUUAAAAACAGGGAUUUCUAUGAAAAUAAGCGAUAUUUUAGGGUUAAAAACAGGGAUUUUUAUGAAAAAAAGCGAUAUUUUUGGGUUAAAAACAGGGAUUUCUAUGAAAAUAAGCGAUAUUUUAGGGUUAAAAACAGGGAUUUCUAUGAAAAAAAAGCGAUAUUUUAGGGUUAAAAACAGGGAUUUCUAUGAAAAUAAGCGAUAUUUUAGGGUUAAAAACAGGGAUUUGUAUGAAAAUAAGCGAUAUUUUUGGGUUGAAAGCAGGGAUUUCGACGAAAAUAAGGGAUGUUUAAGGGGAAAAAAUGGGAUUUCUAUGAAAAUAAGCGAUAUUUUUGGGUUAAAAAACGGGAUUUCGAUGAAAAUAAGCGAUAUUUUAGGGUUAAAAACAGGGAUUUCUAUGAAAAUAAGCGAUAUUUUAGGGUUAAAAACAGGGAUUUCUAUGAAAAUAAGCGAUAUUUUAGGGUUAAAAACAGGGAUUUGUAUGAAAAUAAGCGAUAUUUUUGGGUUAAAAACAGGGAUUUUGAUGAA